RNAcentral lists this ribosomal RNA (253 nucleotides) under uncultured bacterium. RNAcentral's name for it is "partial 16S ribosomal RNA". It matches the Rfam family "Bacterial small subunit ribosomal RNA", at positions 524 to 776 of the family's 1533-position model. The record is from RNAcentral.
UACGGAGGAUGCGAGCGUUAUCCGGAUUUAUUGGGUUUAAAGGGUGCGUAGGUGGUUUUUUAAGUCAGUUGUGAAAGUUUGCGGCUCAACCGUAAAAUUGCAAUUGAAACUGAAAGACUUGAGUGUAUUUGAGGUGGGCGGAAUUCGUAGUGUAGCGGUGAAAUGCUUAGAUAUUACGAAGAACUCCGAUUGCGUAGGCAGCUCACUAAACUACAACUGACACUGAGGCACGAAAGUGUGGGUAUCAAACAGG